GCUGGGCGUGGUAGCGCGUGCCUGUAAUCCCAGCUACUUGGGAGGCUGAGGCAGGAGAAUCGCUUGAACCCAGGAGAUGGAGGUUGCAGUAAGCCGAGAUUGUGCCACUGCACUCCAACCUGGGUGACAGAGUGAGAUUCCAUCUCAA
This 148-nucleotide small RNA is filed under the name Pongo abelii (Sumatran orangutan). RNAcentral's name for it is "Metazoan signal recognition particle RNA (ENSPPYG00000031552.1)". The record is from Rfam by way of RNAcentral. Lineage: Eukaryota; Metazoa; Chordata; Mammalia; Primates; Hominidae.